GAUGAACGCUGGCGGCGUGCCUAAUACAUGCAAGUCGAGCGAACAGAUGAGGAGCUUGCUCCUCUGACGUUAGCGGCGGACGGGUGAGUAACACGUGGAUAACCUACCUAUAAGACUGGGAUAACUUCGGGAAACCGGAGCUAAUACCGGAUAAUAUAUUGAACCGCAUGGUUCAAUAGUGAAAGACGGUUUUGCUGUCACUUAUAGAUGGAUCCGCGCCGCAUUAGCUAGUUGGUAGGGUAACGGCUUACCAAGGCAACGAUGCGUAGCCGACCUGAGAGGGGGGUCGACGGCACUGGAAGGAAUGCGCGGUCGAGACGCCUACGGGAGGCAGCAGCAGUGAGGCAUCCGGAAUGAGCGAAGGCUGGACGGAGCAACGCCGCGGGGGGGAUGAUGGUGUUCGGAUCGUAAAACUCUGUUAUUAGGGAAGAACAAAGGUUGAAGUAACUAUGCACGGCUUGACGGUACCUAAUCAGAAAGCCACGGCUAACUACGUG
RNAcentral lists this ribosomal RNA (497 nucleotides) under uncultured bacterium. RNAcentral describes it as "partial 16S ribosomal RNA". It matches the Rfam family "Bacterial small subunit ribosomal RNA", at positions 28 to 507 of the family's 1533-position model. The record is from RNAcentral.